GACGAACGCUGGCGGCGUGGAUAAGACAUGCAAGUCGAACGGGAUUUUUUCCUGUAGCAAUACAGGAAAAAGUCUAGUGGCGAACGGGUGCGUAACACGUGAGCAACCUGCCGUGAAGUGGGGGAUAGCUCGCCGAAAGGCGAAUUAAUACCGCAUGUGGCCAAGGAAGACAUCUUCCUGACGCCAAAGCCGGGGCAACCUGGCGCUUCUCGAGGGGCUCGCGGCCUAUCAGCUUGUUGGUGAGGUAACGGCUCACCAAGGCUAUGACGGGUAGCUGGUCUGAGAGGACGACCGGCCACACGGGAACGGAGACACGGUCCAGACACCUACGGGUGGCAGCAGUCGAGAGUUUUUCACAAUGGGGGAAACCCUGAUGGAGCGAAGCCGCGUGGAGGAUGAAGGUUUUCGGAUUGUAAACUCCUGUCAUUAGAGGACAAGGCACACGGUUUAACUGGCCGUGUGUUGAUAGUAUCUGAAGAGGAAGAGACGGCUAACUCUGUGCCAGCCGCCGCAGUAA
Molecule: ribosomal RNA, 517 nt
Filed under: uncultured bacterium
Lineage: Bacteria
Description: partial 16S ribosomal RNA
Rfam family: Bacterial small subunit ribosomal RNA
Source: RNAcentral